AAACCAUCAAUUCAUAGCACAUUGCAGACAGAGCAAUCAUGAAGAUUUCUACCAAUUUGAGAAAGUUUUGAUUGCAGAGAAGAGCAUGGGAGAUUGGCAAAUGCAGGAUAAUCAGUGGAUUAAUACUUGCAAUUCAGACGGUAAAAUUUCUGCAUAUUGCCUUCAAAAACCCUCCCAUGAGAGUAACCAAUCUGAGGAUGGGAAGACUGUGAUACCUUCAUCAACAAUUCGCUUUGCAUUGCUGCUACUUUCAGUCUUAUAUUACAUUGCCCAUGUUAUUAUCACUGGAGGUGUGGCAAUGGACCAAAAUACAUCCAGAAGUAAAGAGAGGAAGGAUGAAAAGACAAGAUGCAACGUGAAUUGUUUUGAUGAAAUGAAUAGAGAUAUGUAAUAAUAUUUCUGUUACAUCAAACUGUUUCAUUGCAAUGUAAUACAUUCAUUUUGGAUCUGUGUAGCUAACAUUAAAGCAUGCUUAUCAUAUUGUUUUUAAGGAACAAACAGUCUA
Molecule: long non-coding RNA, 505 nt
Organism: Dioscorea cayenensis subsp. rotundata (Guinea yam)
Lineage: Eukaryota; Viridiplantae; Streptophyta; Magnoliopsida; Dioscoreales; Dioscoreaceae
Exons: 2
Source: RefSeq, a predicted model, not a curated record